This 303-nucleotide ribosomal RNA is filed under the name uncultured bacterium. Its description in RNAcentral is "bacterial SSU rRNA". It matches the Rfam family "Bacterial small subunit ribosomal RNA", at positions 32 to 320 of the family's 1533-position model. The record is from RNAcentral.
AAUCAACGCUGGCGGCGUGCCUCAGACAUGCAAGUCGAACGAUUAAAGCUCUCUUCGGAGAGUGCAUAGAGUGGCGCACGGGUGAGUAACACGUAAGUAAUCUACCUUCGAGUGGGGAAGUAACGUCCGGAAACGGGACGGCUAAUAACCGCAUAAUGCAGCGGCAUCGCAAGAUGACAGUUGUUAAAGGAGCAAUCCGCUUGAAGAGGAGCUUGCGGCAGAUUAGCUAGUUGGUAGGGUAAGUGGCCUACCAAGGCUACGAUCUGUAACCGGUCUUAGAGGACGGUCGGUCACACUGACACU